GUUCCUGUAGCGCAAAGGGUAACGCGUUGGACUUCGUAUCGAAAGAUCGUGGUUUCGAAUCCCACCUGGGAUG
This is a non-coding RNA of Trichonephila inaurata madagascariensis, 73 nucleotides long. Lineage: Eukaryota; Metazoa; Arthropoda; Arachnida; Araneae; Nephilidae. The record is from the annotation of a GenBank genome assembly.